Molecule: ribosomal RNA, 211 nt
Filed under: uncultured bacterium
Lineage: Bacteria
Description: partial 16S ribosomal RNA
Rfam family: Bacterial small subunit ribosomal RNA
Source: RNAcentral
UACGGAGGGUGCAAGCGUUAUCCGGAUUUACUGGGUUUAAAGGGUGCGUAGGUGGGCAGGUAAGUCAGUGGUGAAAUCUCCGGGCUUAACCCGGAAACUGCCAUUGAUACUAUCGGUCUUGAAUUUCCUGGAGGUAAGCGGAAUAUGUCAUGUAGCGGUGAAAUGCUUAGAUAUGACAUAGAACACCAAUUGCGAAGGCAGCUUACUACGG